RNAcentral lists this transfer-messenger RNA (352 nucleotides) under Litoreibacter ponti. Its description in RNAcentral is "Alphaproteobacteria transfer-messenger RNA". It matches the Rfam family "Alphaproteobacteria transfer-messenger RNA". From Rfam's summary of the family: Bacterial tmRNA, also known as 10Sa RNA or SsrA, is named for its dual tRNA and mRNA-like properties. Its role is to liberate the mRNA from a stalled ribosome. Lineage: Bacteria; Pseudomonadati; Pseudomonadota; Alphaproteobacteria; Rhodobacterales; Roseobacteraceae. The record is from Rfam by way of RNAcentral.
GCAAUUGCAACCGGGGCGCCAUCCGCCUAUAUGUCUUAUGUUCCUUCGGGGACUAUGGACAUAAACGCGCUCGUAAUAAGCGGAUCGGACCCGGGGGCGGUACCCGGCGACUCCACCAAAACUCCCUCGUUUGGGGACCAUGGGGUCGAAAUAGGAUCGACGGACGUCUAAAGGGGUUUGCUUUGUCUCGGUGAGUUACCACCGUUAUCGGUACACUUAAGCUAGUUGCAAACGACAACAAAGCUCCGGUCGCACUCGCAGCGUAAGCUGUGCGUAAGAUCGAAAUCUUAAGCCCUGUCGCCUAGCAGCGUCAGGCGGGGUUCGCAGGUACCUGGCAACAGAAACCUGCAUU